CACGGCGUAGCUCAGCAGGACAGAGCAUCCUUGCUUUCUUCAUGCAACCCGGACCUCGACCAUCCGGUUGUAUGGGCAGGAAGGUCGCAGGUUCGAGUCCUGCCGCCGUUU
This 111-nucleotide transfer RNA is filed under the name Burkholderiales bacterium. RNAcentral's name for it is "tRNA-OTHER". It matches the Rfam family "tRNA". Rfam says of the family: Transfer RNA (tRNA) molecules are approximately 80 nucleotides in length. RNAcentral also lists the same sequence under 1 other name. Lineage: Bacteria; Pseudomonadati; Pseudomonadota; Betaproteobacteria; Burkholderiales. The record is from RNAcentral.